CUGCGUGUGUGUGUGUGUGUUAACAAAUUUUCUGCCUUGCACUUUUGGGAAUACUAAUGCUGUGAAACUGUCAGAGCUACCAGCAUCUCAGCUUGCUAAUGAAUUCCUAGACCUGUAUUCAGAAGAAAGGGAUAAGCAGAUGAGCUGAAAAUCCAGUUUCCAAGGAGACAGCCCUAGAAACAUGUAAGAAAUAUUUAACUAGCCUGGAAUCCUGAGCUUUCUUUUUCCUGUUCGCUCCACGUGGGUGUCAUAUCCUGACACACAGCUUUUGAGAUUCAGAGUAAUCCUGUCAUGGUCUGGUGCUGAGCAUCAUCACUCCCUGAGUUCUAGGCUGCCCAGAAGACUGGAACGGAAGGUAAAGAAAUUCAGCAAAGCAGAAGAGCUGGAUACAAAAGGCCCAGUCCAGUUUCCGAUGAUGUCAGUGAAAAGAUUCCUAUUGACUUGAGUUGGAGCUGGAUCAGGCACAAAGAAAGAGAUAGGGGUGUGAGAGAAAUGGAAGAGAAUAAGCUGGAGAGUGGAUAGGAAAGAAAAGAUGCAAUAAAGUGCACUAUACAUUUGGAAAAUUCA
Molecule: long non-coding RNA, 567 nt
Filed under: Chrysemys picta bellii (western painted turtle)
Lineage: Eukaryota; Metazoa; Chordata; Testudines; Emydidae
Description: lncRNA (ENSCPBG00000025684.1)
Source: RNAcentral